Long non-coding RNA from Haliotis rufescens (red abalone), 355 nucleotides. RefSeq lists it as uncharacterized. NCBI's taxonomy places the organism in Eukaryota, Metazoa, Mollusca, Gastropoda, Lepetellida, Haliotidae. The transcript is spliced from 2 exons. The record is from RefSeq and is a predicted model, not a curated record.
UUUCGUCAAUGGCUGUACAUUGCCUGUCAAGUGGUUACCCUACAAGAAAACGUUCACGCCUGCUUGUAACAAACAUGAUGUUUGCUAUACAUGUGCUGCAGCUUAUGGAAUAUCAAGGGCAACAUGUGAUAACAAGUUUUACCACAAUAUGAGGGAAAUUUGCGGGAGACGGUGGCUUUGCAAAAAGGCGGCUAAAGCUUAUGUUUGGGGAACGAAGAAAUACGGAAGAAAAUAUUUCAAUCAACGAGCUUCAGCCGGCUGCCGUGAUCAUUGGGUGAAACAGUGUCUGUGAUUGUGUGUUAUCACAUCACGCCAUGCAUUUCAUGCAUUCAAUAAAAUGAUAUUGGCAUCAAUA